RNAcentral lists this long non-coding RNA (1224 nucleotides) under Anser brachyrhynchus (Pink-footed goose). RNAcentral's name for it is "lncRNA (ENSABRG00000001765.1)". The record is from RNAcentral. Lineage: Eukaryota; Metazoa; Chordata; Aves; Anseriformes; Anatidae.
AUGAAGCUCCUAGAACUUUUCUCCCCUCUGGAUAGAGCCAAGUGGAAAUUGCUGCUGAGAUGUGAAGCCAGUAGGGCUGCUGCGCUGGGAGCCCUCCUGGCCACAGGUGAGGAGCCUCGCCACCUGCAAUACUCAGUAGGCCAAUCAAGCUGGCCCUGCAUGAGGUGUUGGACAUCCUGCACAGAGGCAGGUGAUACAAGAAGACAGGCUAAGCAGCAGCUACUUUCAUCAGUGAAGAAAUUUCAGUGAAGAAAUUGAAUCCCAGCUUUGACACUGCAGACUCUUCCCUGGGAGACUGUGCCCCUACUUUCCCCCCAAGUUUACUGGCUGAAGAGACUCCCUCUGUCCUUCUUCCCUCACUAAAAGCUGUUUUCUGUCCUUAGGUAGCUGGCGGUGGCUGACAGAACUCUGUGGAGAGGCAUGGUAAGGACAAGUAUGAGAGUGGACUAAGUGAAUUCCACAUUCAUACUGGGAAGGAAAAAGAUGAGUAUGUUUAGUUUUACUGAGAAAAAGGGUGUUCAUUAAUUAUACACAUCUGAGGCGGGUCUAACUUAAUUUUAUGGAUCCGGGAUAACAAAAAUAGAUGAAGAUGGGAUGACCUAAAUGCACAGACCAGGGAAUGGCACUAUGCUAAUUGGCAUGAGAGUAUGGAGGGGGAAAAACAAAACAAAACAAAAACACAGGUGAGGGCAGCUUAAAUUAAUGUGCUUUUUCUUUUUUUUUUCUUUUUUUUUUGAGAGAGGAAGUGUCAAUGAGUUGUGGGCAGUGCAAUUCGUUGACUCAUUAAAACCCUGUGUAUCUGGAGUCAGUUCUCAGAAUGAAGAUAACACUUGCGGUGGGCUUGUUCCCUUGGGACUCCAUGCAAAGCUUUGAUAACCCACUGCCUGAUUGAAAGAGAUGCAGCUAUGUUUAGACAGACAACCCCAAGAAUCAGAUCAAACUGUACUGCCCAAAUCCUCAACCCAGUUACACAUUAACCAGAUUCCUCUGUGUGGACCAGAAGAUAUGCAUAUUAAAUAUGCAUAUUCAUACUCAAGUUUCAGGGUGUUUUGAUUGGAUGUGAAGGUUCCUCAUCCAUGGGAAAAUAUUGUUAUGUUUUUCCUGGGUAAUUAAAAUCAAGCAGUGGCGAGAUUAGUGAGGCCUGGAGAUCCCUUUACUUUCAGCUAUUUUCAUUUGUAUUCUCAUUUAAAUAAAAAACAGUGGUUGUAGCUAUUUGUUUAAGAA